Molecule: ribosomal RNA, 350 nt
Filed under: uncultured bacterium
Lineage: Bacteria
Description: partial 16S ribosomal RNA
Rfam family: Bacterial small subunit ribosomal RNA
Source: RNAcentral
CCUACGGGAGGCAGCAGUAGGGAAUGUUGCGCAAUGGGGGAAACCCUGACGCAGCAACACCGCGUGAAUGGUAAGCACUUCGGGGUGUAAAGAUCUGUCAAUAGGGACGAAGAGUGACUGUACCUAUAAAGGAAGCACCGGCGAACUCCGUGCCAGCAGCCGCGGUAAUACGGGGGGUGCAAGCGUUGUCCGGAAUCAUUGGGCGUAACGCGUUCGUAGGGGGGAUGUCCAGUCUGAUGUUAAAGCCCGGGGCUCCACUCCGGUUCGGCCUUGGAUACUGGCAAACUAGAAUGUGGUAGAGGUAACGGGAAUUCCUGGUGUAGCGGUGACAUGCGUAGAUAUCAGGAGGA